RNAcentral lists this ribosomal RNA (514 nucleotides) under uncultured bacterium. RNAcentral describes it as "partial 16S ribosomal RNA". It matches the Rfam family "Bacterial small subunit ribosomal RNA", at positions 28 to 523 of the family's 1533-position model. The record is from RNAcentral.
GAUGAACGCUGGCGGCGUGCCGAAUACAUGCAAGUCGAGCGAACAGAUGAGAAGCUUGCUUCUCUGAUGUUAGCGGCGGACGGGUGAGUAACACGUGGGUAACCUACCUAUAAGACUGGGAUAACUCCGGGAAACCGGGGCUAAUACCGGAUAAUAUUUUGAACCGCAUGGUUCAAUAGUGAAAGACGGUUUCGGCUGUCACUUAUAGAUGGACCCGCGCCGUAUUAGCUAGUUGGUAAGGUAACGGCUUACCGAGGCGACGAUACGUAGCCGACCUGAGAGGGUGAUCGGCCACACUGGAACUGAGACACGGUCCAGACUCCUACGGGAGGCAGCAGUAGGGAAUCUUCCGCAAUGGGCGAAAGCCUGACGGAGCAACGCCGCGUGAGUGAUGAAGGUCUUCGGAUCGUAAAACUCUGUUGUUAGGGAAGAACAAAUUUGUUAGUAACUGAACAAGUCUUGACGGUACCUAACCAGAAAGCCACGGCUAACUACGUGCCAGCCGCCGCAGUAA